AGAUUGAAGGGAAGUGGGAAAAGCGGGUGCAAGGGCUGGAAACGGAGCUAGAGGAAUCAGCAUUCCAGCGGGCAGCGCUAGAAAGUCGUCUUAAAGAUUUGGAGCAAGUGACCA
This 114-nucleotide small nuclear RNA is filed under the name Compsopogon caeruleus. Its description in RNAcentral is "partial Dictyostelium signal recognition particle". Lineage: Eukaryota; Rhodophyta; Compsopogonophyceae; Compsopogonales; Compsopogonaceae. The record is from RNAcentral.